ACGCUCGACACCUACGGCAGGCAGCAGUGGGGAAUAUUGGGCAAUGGAGGCAACUCUGACCCAGCAACGCCGCGUGAGUGAUGAAGGUCUUCGGAUUGUAAAACUCUUUAAGUAGGGACGAAGAAAGUGACGGUACCUACAGAAUAAGCCUCGGCUAACUACGUGCCAGCAGCCGCGGUAAUCUGAGCGGGCUGGCAAGGC
RNAcentral lists this ribosomal RNA (201 nucleotides) under uncultured bacterium. RNAcentral's name for it is "partial 16S ribosomal RNA". It matches the Rfam family "Bacterial small subunit ribosomal RNA", at positions 326 to 539 of the family's 1533-position model. The record is from RNAcentral.